AACGAACGCUGGCGGCAUGCCUAACACAUGCAAGUCGAACGAGACCUUCGGGUCUAGUGGCGCACGGGUGCGUAACGCGUGGGGAUCUGCCCUUUGCUUCGGAAUAACAGUUAGAAAUGACUGCUAAUACCGGAUGAUGACUUCGGUCCAAAGAUUUAUCGGCAAAGGAUGAACCCGCGUAGGAUUAGCUAGUUGGUGGGGUAAAGGCCUACCAAGGCGACGAUCCGUUAGCUGGUCUGAGAGGAUGAUCAGCCACACUGGGACUGAGACACGGCCCAGACUCCUACGGGAGGCAGCAGUGGGGAAUAUUGGACAAUGGGCGAAAGCCUGAUCCAGCAAUGCCGCGUGAGUGAUGAAGGCCUUAGGGUUGUAAAGCUCUUUUACCCGGGAUGAUAAUGACAGUACCGGAGAAUAAGCUCCGGCUAACUCCGUGCCAGCAGCCGCGGUAAU
This 450-nucleotide ribosomal RNA is filed under the name uncultured bacterium. RNAcentral describes it as "bacterial SSU rRNA". It matches the Rfam family "Bacterial small subunit ribosomal RNA", at positions 29 to 524 of the family's 1533-position model. The record is from RNAcentral.